CGCUCUUUCUUCUGGAGUAAUGGACACCCCUUCCUGGGUUACUUCAGAGUAUGGGGCCACCGUGAAGCCUCGUUCUCCAAGCGUAGUUUAAAAACAGUUGGGAGAGUGCCCAUGCCACUAAUUGCCCACUCUCCCACACAUGGUUUAUCCCGCUUCACCUGGUCCCUUCAACUCCAGAAAAGACAGGGAGUGGAAAAGUCUAGAUUUAGAAGAUUAAAUUUAUCUGUAAAUUAUGACUUACGUGAAGUAGGUACUCAUUUUCUUUAUCUACUGACUGCUAAUAGGAUAGAUUGGAAACAGCUGUGUAAAGCUAGGAUCACAUCGCUAACAGUGGGUUGGAUCUAAGCUCAGCCUUUACGGUAAAAAUCCCUGAGAGUAAAAAUUACUCAUGAAAAUACUGUAAGUGGCCCACAAAGUGCAGGAUACGUGAUGUUAAGCAUAAACUCUAGGUCUUUAAUUCUUAGGCACACUUGAAUGUGAGACCUCUUAGCUAGUUUAUAUGUUUUCAUAAAAAGGGAGUUUGUAGAUAUCUGGGCAUUUAAACAAUCCUGAUAAAUCCAAGGGGCAACACUUAGUUUUCAUCUUGCUUAACCAUUCACCAACAUUUGACACAGUUCAUCACAUCCUCCUUUUUGAAGCUUGAAACGCUUUCUUCAUUUGACUUUUGUGAACUCACAGAGCUCUUUUGAUUCUUCUUUGCUAGACUCUGCCUCAUUUCUUAGUGUGUCCCAGCUCUCUUCCCCUCUUUAGCCACCUUUAUUUCCCAGGUAAUCUCAUUCUUUCCUUCACUGUCUUUAUAUAGCAUCACUAUGCUGAUGGCUUCCAAAUAGCCAUUUCCAGCCAUGAUUUCUUUGAUUUCUAUACUAACGUAUCUAACUUCUUAGUCAACAUAUCUACUAGGAUAUUUAACAUGCAUUUCAAACUAUUUUCUGUUUCCAAAACCUGUCUCACUCUUCCUAGUGUAUAUCUUUACAUCUCAGCAAAUGGCAUAUUGACUCUUAGAACUGUUAAGUUCAUAGUUUGAUUCUUCUUUCUCUCAAGUUUCACAUCCAGUCAGUCCCUCAGCAAAAUCUAUCGGCUUUUUUCAAAAGGUAUUCUAAAUCUAACCAAUUCUUACCACCUCUACAACUACUAUGCCACUCCUCACUGGAUGCUCUAAUUGUUUCUUAAUUGUUCUACACGCUUCUGUUCUUACUUUUCUACAACCUAGUCUCCACUUGUAAUAGGUGAAUUGCCAGAAGCUCUCUGUGGACUACUUUAGUCAUUAAAACUCAUGGACUAAUUUGAGAAUUAAAACUCCAAGUGGUUCCAUUGCUUGGGGGUGGGGGGGGGCACACUUUUGUGACUGCUACCUCCAAGAGACCUACCAGCUUCUCACUUUGAAAAUCAGAUAAAAAUUCUCUUUUGACAGUAGGAGAGGAAAAGUGAGCAUUUUCAAAUAUACCCAGAGCUCUCUAUUUUCCUUAAUAAAAUCUGCCUUUAAGGGAAACUGUUUUACCAGAGCCUAACCAACUGGGGGGUUACCAACCUAGUGAAAUGAAAAUACUCAACUCCAGACCACUCUAGCCUUUGAAGUGGAAGGAAAGUGGACAACAUGCAGAAACAGAAGGGGACAGUAAGCAGAGAGAUGAAAACAUUAAGAAGGAAUCAACAGGACAUGCUGGAAAUCCAAAACACAGGAACUGAAAUGAAAAACACCUUUGGUAGGCACAUAAGUAGACUGGACACAACCAGGGAAAGAAUCUAGAUUAAGGAUAUGUCAAUAGAAACUUCCAAAACUGAAAAGAAAAAAGAAUGAAGAAGAUGAAACAGAAUAUCCAAGAAAAGUGGGGAAAUUACAAAAAGUUUAGCAUAUGCAUAAUGGGAAUGCUAGAAGGAGAAGAGAGAAAAGGAACAAAGGAACUAUUUGAAGUAAGGACAGAAUUUUCCAAAAUUAAUGACAUUAAAACCCACAGAUCCAGGAAGCUUAGAGGAUUCUAAACUGGAUAAAUACUAAAAAAUUACACUUGGGCAUAUAUAAUCAAACAGCAGAAAAUGAAAGUCUAUGAGAAAAUCUUGAAAGAGGUCAGAGGGGAGAAAACAACCAAUGUUGCCUACAGAGAAAAAAUAAGAUAUGAAUUACAUUGAACUUUUCUUCAGAAACUAUGCAAAAAGAAAAUGGGAUGAUAUAUUUAAAGUCUUGAAGACCUAGAAUUUGAUAUCCAGUGAAAUUAUCCUUAGAAAAUAGAGGAAAAAUAAAGACUUUCUCAGACAAACAAAAAUUGAGGGAAAUUGUCACCAGUGGACUUGCCCUGCAAGAAAUGUUAAAAGAAGUUCUUCAAAGAGAUAGAAAUGUUAUACAUCAGAAAUUUGGAUCUACAUGAAGAAAGAGUUUUUGAGAAGGAAUAAAUGAAGACUACUAAACAAUGGAAAGGAACAAGCCACUAAUACCUGGAACAACAUGAAUGAACCUCAAAACAUUAAGCUGAGUGAAAGAAGCCUUUCAUGCAAAAAAGGUUUCCUGGAAUAAGAAUUCAUCGGAAGAAAGCAUUACUCUGUGGAAGUUUGAAAGCCAUUAUCAGUAUUCUCUGCCGAUAGCAAAGGCUCUCUAGACGGCAACUAUCAGAGCAAAUUCUGUCUCUCCACUCUGUGGUCCUAGGCCCACUGUAGCCACCAGGGAACAGUUCAGCUGAAAUGACCCAUCAACUCCAUUCCUAUUGUUAUUCUUAAAACUUCCUGGCACAGCAUCAGAUACCUGCAUGAAGGAAAAGCUUCUUCAGCCUUCCCUCUCUAUUUGGCUUCAAGUGGGUAUAUCACAGUUAUUGCCAUAUACAGAAAAUUCUGACUGACAUUUCCAGAGCUUUUUGGUGACAGAAGUGAUUUUCACAUUCCCUCAAGCUGGAGCAUAUUUUCACAAGCACUAUUUGGGUUCUUUGGUCAUUCAUCUUUAAAGUAAGAGAACUCCAUCUAGACCACUUCCAUCAUCUUGUGAUUCAUGGAAAACCAUUGACAACAGGAUUACUGACUGAUCUUGGAGUUGUUAGUUUUUAUCAGUUUUAGUGUUUUUAUAGUUAUUUCAUUGGGUGGUUGUAAGAGGUUUUACUAGGGGGUGUUAGGUAGCAUGCACUUUCAAUCAAGCUACCUAUUCAAAAUGUCAGCAUUUUUGCAGUAUCUCCCAAGAUGUUUCUGUUGAAGAAUAAUAUUUGUACUGUGAGAGUUGUAUCUGGAACUCCUGUACUCCAGAAUCAAAAACAAAAAUGUGAAGCAAUAGUUUCUAUUUCACAGGCUAAUUAAAGCAAGAGAUUUGGUAUUUCUUUACAAAAAGAAUGAUGAAGGUAGAUAGUGGCCUGGAAACCAGUGAACUUGAUUGCAAAAUGAAUAUUUAAAAGCCCCUCUGAUUUAAUGUGCUCUUGUUUCCAUUCCCUUUAUUCUUUACAAAGACAAAGAGUCCUCUGUAAAUAUUGCUUUAAGGAUUAUCAGGCUUCAAUUUUCAAUUUUGUCCAAAGGCCAUAAUUUAAACCAUAAUAUUGGCUUUACAAAUGUAAACAGUGAUUGAACCUCUUUCCUUUAGCUAAUAGAAAUGCCAAUGAAAUUAGAGUCAAUUAAAUAAUUGCUUUAUUAACCUAAUGUAUUACUGCUGUAAGACGUGCUGUGACUCAUCCAGUCAGGAGGGGAGCUAGGAGAGAACAAAACUACAUCAACAUAAAGACAAUGGAAACCAGCAUUUUGUAAAAACUUGAUCCAAUAAAAAGAAUAAAACAUUUAUUGAAAUUUUGAUA
Aethalodelphis obliquidens (Pacific white-sided dolphin) is the source of this 3758-nucleotide long non-coding RNA. RefSeq lists it as uncharacterized. The transcript is spliced from 5 exons. Lineage: Eukaryota; Metazoa; Chordata; Mammalia; Artiodactyla; Delphinidae. The record is from RefSeq and is a predicted model, not a curated record.